RNAcentral lists this unclassified non-coding RNA (2335 nucleotides) under Leishmania donovani. RNAcentral's name for it is "gene:LdHU3.32.3870(CDS-product:hypothetical_prote in_conserved)". The record is from RNAcentral. Lineage: Eukaryota; Euglenozoa; Kinetoplastea; Trypanosomatida; Trypanosomatidae.
CCGCCCCCUCCCAAAGGGCAAGGGGACAGUGACUGGCCCUCUUGUUGGAUGCUCUGGUGCAGAAAAAAAUCAUUCCUCCCGCUAUAACUGGGUGAUCUAAGGUACUCGGGACAGGGUCGAGCAUACGUCAUCUCUCACCAAGGUACCGAAGACCACCACCGCUCACAGAUCGGCUCAAGUCGCACACACAAGUACACAUACUGCCCACCAAAGGGUUCAACCACAGAAAAGCCGGUUAGAAGAAACAAAGAACCAGAACACACACACACACACACACACACACACACACACACAUAGAGAUACAAGAUGAAGGCGAGGCAGCUACUGUUGGUACGCACCAUCCCCCUCAUUCGCCCUGUCAAGGUGGAUCCUGCUACUAAGAAGUUACCAGCCACAUUGCUCAACGACGUAACGAUGUUGUCCACGGUGACAAACGAUGCCUUUUCCAAACAGUGCCAAGCAGUGCUCCGAAGUGUCUCAAAGAACAAACUGUACUCAAGUCGCUUCUGGGUGACCCAGCCGCAAUCGAGGCGCUCGUGCAACGCCGUAGUUCUUCCGGGGCAGAAGCCAGCGGUGAUUCACCUAAACGUUGAAAAGGUCAUCCCUUUGAAGGUGCUCGCUAAGAAGGACCAGAGGAAGGUGCUCGAUGAGCAUCCACCGUUCUUCGGCUCCGGCGUCGGUAUCCUGUCAGAGCGGAAGAAGUGGAAAGCAGUUACGGCGGAUCGACUAAUCCGGCUUCUGAAUGCAGCGGAGGAAGAGCGCGCUCUGUUUAUUGAUGUGAAUGUGGCCAAGGAACUCGAGUUGAGGUACAACAAAAAAGACGUGAUCGACAUCCGCUCCGCGAGCUCAGUGGCUGUCUUCAACUCUGACCAGCUUGACGACCCAUACAAGGGGGAGCCUCAGAAAGGUGUGGCACUAAACGCAGCGACCGGGAAGCGGCUCGGCCAGCCUGCGCACGAUAUUCUUCUCGGAGUCGGCAUCCUUCGCGGUUACACGUCACCAAUGUGGAUCGCAGAGGCUCAGAUGAAGUACCUAAAUCUAGAACUCAAGGCAAACGCGGAGAAGCAGGCAGUGUCGGCGCCGAACAUGACAGGGAUGAUUGUUUCUCUUUCGGUUUUGCCGCCAAAGUGCAAGCAAGAGCUGCUCAGCGAGCUCAAGAAGCAGCGUCCAGACGCUUUCGGCCACGACAUUUUCUUCAUCUACAACGUGAACGGGUGGGAAGCGACGCGGUCGCGUGUGCUUGUGCGGAACAUGGCUGCCGUGAACGAUAAGGAAUACCCUUUCCACUUUGUGAAUCUGAAGGAUCUCAGACUGCAGAAGCCGCAGUACUCAUCGGUCGUGACCCGGCUGACGGGCUGCAAGACUCCAUUCUGCGCGUCUGCUCUGGAAACCGCUGCUCUUGCUGCUACCAAAUCGAAGGAAGGGAAUCAAAAGGAUGACCUAGUGGUUCAAGGGAAAACGUUUCCCUUCUUCUUCGCCGAGGACGCGACGCGCCGUCGCUACUACAACGCCGCCUGCAUGACGAAGCCGUAUCUGAUGAUGCCGUCUGUGCGUCCCAUCGCCAUCCUUAAAGGGCGGCUUCUUGGGCCCAGGGACGAGAGCAUUCUUCGCACGUUUGCGCUGAAGAACAAGCUCUCCAGUCCCAUCUGGGUAACAGAGUCCGCUGCGGAGCGCAUGGGAGUGCGUAUCGCUGCGGCGCGCAAAAAGCACUAUGUUCUCAUCGGCGCUGCCGCGGCAGAUGCAAACCCCGACGAGGAGGCCGUAGAUGGCUUUUACAACAUCGACGAUUUUGCCAAGCCUGAGGAGAUCCUAUCCUUGUUCCCCAAAGCAAGCAAGAAAGUGCACUUCAUGCUGGAUACUAAGUGGCGCGCCGUGCUGGGCAAACAGCGGCAAGACUACCUUUCUUCGCUAAAGCGCGACGUCCCUCUGUGGGUCUCGGUGAACGAGUGUCUAAUGUCCGGCUUUGAGCCGAGACCAGGGUCUACGCUCCUUUCGUUUCCCACUAGCCGCAAGCGCGACAAGACGGGCACAAGGCUCUACAACUCGCAGCACACCACCGACCCGGUGCGCGUGAUUGGUCUCUCCUCGGUGUACACGCGACCACAGGGGCUGACAAUGUAAGAGCACUGCAAGCGUGUGGGCUGAAGAAAAGCAUGCGUAUUGGAGAGUCCGUUUGGCGCGUUUUCGCUUUUUGUUUUCUCGCUCGUAUGUGCAUACUGAGCUGCUCUCGCAAACGUAGCGGCUUCGCGCGUGAAGCGCUGUAUUAAAUGCUUUUUCGUUUUCGGUACUAUAGAUAUAGAUGGACACUGAUAGAGAAGUGCAUAAAGAAGAAAUC